UACGGGGGGGGCAAGCGUUGUUCGGAAUUACUGGGCGUAAAGGGCUCGUAGGCGGCCAACUAAGUCAGACGUGAAAUCCCUCGGCUUAACCGGGGAACUGCGUCUGAUACUGGAUGGCUUGAGUUUGGGAGAGGGAUGCGGAAUUCCAGGUGUAGCAGUGAAAUGCGCAGAUAUCAGGAAGAACACCCGUGGCGAAGGCGGCUCUCUGGGACGGUACUGACGCUGAGACGCGAAAGCGUGGGGAGCGAACAGG
Molecule: ribosomal RNA, 253 nt
Filed under: uncultured bacterium
Lineage: Bacteria
Description: partial 16S ribosomal RNA
Rfam family: Bacterial small subunit ribosomal RNA
Source: RNAcentral